GAUGAACGCUGGCGGCGUGCCUAAUACAUGCAAGUCGAACGAAGUCUUCGGACUUAGUGGCGAACGGGCGAGUAACACGUUGGUACCUACCCCGAAGUGGGGAAUAACUGCGCGAAAGGGUGGCUAAUACCGCAUAAUACCGCAAGGUUAAAGCAGUAAUGCGCUUCGGGAGGGGCCUGCGUCCCAUUAGCUAGUUGGUAGGGUAAUGGCCUACCAAGGCGACGAUGGGUAGCUGGAUCGAGAGGUUGACCAGCCACACUGGGACUGAGAUACGGCCCAGACUCCUACGGGAGGCAGCAGUAAGGAAUCUUCCACAAUGGACGAAAGUCUGAUGGAGCAACGCCGCGUGCAGGAUGACGGCCUUCGGGUUGUAAACUGCUUUUAUACGGGAAGAUUAUGACGGUACCGUAUGAAUAAGGACCGGCUAACUACGUGCCAGCAGCCGCCGUAA
This 451-nucleotide ribosomal RNA is filed under the name uncultured bacterium. RNAcentral describes it as "partial 16S ribosomal RNA". It matches the Rfam family "Bacterial small subunit ribosomal RNA", at positions 28 to 523 of the family's 1533-position model. The record is from RNAcentral.